This 506-nucleotide ribosomal RNA is filed under the name uncultured bacterium. RNAcentral's name for it is "partial 16S ribosomal RNA". It matches the Rfam family "Bacterial small subunit ribosomal RNA", at positions 29 to 523 of the family's 1533-position model. The record is from RNAcentral.
AGUGAACGCUGGCGGUAGGCCUAACACAUGCAAGUCGAACGGCAGCACAGGAGAGCUUGCUCUCUGGGUGGCGAGUGGCGGACGGGUGGGGAAUACAUCGGAAUCUACUCUGUCGUGGGGGAUAACGUAGGGAAACUUACGCUAAUACCGCAUACGACCUACGGGUGAAAGCAGGGGACCUUCGGGCCUUGCGCGAUUGAAUGAGCCGAUGUCGGAUUAACUAGUUGGCGGGGUAAAGGCCCACCAAGGCGACGAUCCGUAGCUGGUCUGGGAGGAUGAUCAGCCACACUGGAACUGAGACACGGUCCAGACUCCUACGGGAGGCAGCAGUGGGGAAUAUUGGACAAUGGGCGCAAGCCUGAUCCAGCCAUACCGCGUGGGUGAAGAAGGCCUUCGGGUUGUAAAGCCCUUUUGUUGGGAAAGAAAUCCAGCUGGCUAAUACCCGGUUGGGAUGACGGUACCCAAAGAAUAAGCACCGGCUAACUUCGUGCCAGCCGCCGCAGUAA